RNAcentral lists this ribosomal RNA (466 nucleotides) under uncultured bacterium. RNAcentral describes it as "partial 16S ribosomal RNA". It matches the Rfam family "Bacterial small subunit ribosomal RNA", at positions 28 to 507 of the family's 1533-position model. The record is from RNAcentral.
GAUGAACGCUGGCGGCGUGCUUAACACAUGCAAGUCGAACGAUGAAGCCCAGCUUGCUGUGUGCAUUAGUGGCCAACGGGUGAGUAACACACGAGUAACCUGCCCUUAACUCUGGGAUAAGCCUCGGAAACUGGGUCUAAUACCUGAUAGGAGCGUCCACCGCAUGGUGGGUUUUGGAAAGAUUUAUCGGUUUUGGAUGGGCUAGCGGCCUAUCAGCUUGUUGGUGAGGUAAUGGCUAACCAAGGCAACGACGGUUAGCCGGCCUGGAAGGGUGACCGGCCACACGGGGACUAAGAGACGGCCCAGCAGGCUACGGGAGGCAGCAGGGGGGAAUAUUGCGCAAUGGGCGCGAGUCUGAUGCAGAGACGCCGCGUGAGGAAUGACGGCCUUUGGGUUGUAAACCUCUUUCAGUAGGGAAGAAGCGAAAGUGACGGUACCUGCAGAAGAAGCACCGGCUAACUACGUG